CUUCAGCGAAUGUGGGCAGCCUAUGUGGCCUGUCGCCUGGAGCCAAUCCAGCCAAAGCACUAGGCAUGGCCAGGUGCUGUAGCAGUGGAGGCCUCUACUUUGAGUCUGUGUCAUUGUGAGCGGGGGUUGCCACCAGCUGUCACAGCCCUGAGAACAAUACCUUUUGCCCUUCAGGAUCUUGAAGCAGGAGCACCCUGAGCUGGCAGUGCUUGCCGACGCUGUUGACCUCCAAGAGUCCACAGGCAUCGCCUCUGACAGCUCCAGUGACUCUUCUAGCUCCUCCAGCUCCAGCUCGUCGGACUCAGACUCGGAGUGUGAAUCUGGGUCAGAAGGUGAUGGGACAACACAUCGCAGGAAGAAGAGGAGAACUUGCAGCAUGGUGGGAAAUGGGGACACUACCUCACAGGAUGACUGCGUGAGCAAAGAGCGCAGUUCCUCCAGGUGACCACAUGUGGCCGCUGUCUGUGCAAGGCUGUGCUUGCAGCAAGGCUUAGGAGGGCUGACACCCAGAGAACAAGGACACUGAGAUGGGAGUUGGUAGCAUUUGGUACAGUGGCUUUUCUCCAUGGUCAUAUCUUAGGGGCAAAGGUGUGUGGAUGGUGCCAACGAAACCCUUUACCUAUUUAAUAAAGACGAAUACAUUUUAUAUUGUGGACAGCUUCCUUUGGGC
RNAcentral lists this long non-coding RNA (670 nucleotides) under Rattus norvegicus (Norway rat). RNAcentral's name for it is "long non-coding RNA NONRATT006303". The record is from RNAcentral. Lineage: Eukaryota; Metazoa; Chordata; Mammalia; Rodentia; Muridae.